Biomphalaria pfeifferi is the source of this 438-nucleotide non-coding RNA. The record is from the annotation of a GenBank genome assembly. Lineage: Eukaryota; Metazoa; Mollusca; Gastropoda; Planorbidae.
UGCUAGUGGACUGAGAUAAAGCACUUGUAUGUAAUUUUACUGAUAUAAAGCAUGUGAUGUUAUCCUCAAGAGCUGAAAAGUAUCUUUACGAGAUGGAUUUUAUCUUUAUAAGCUAAAUGCUUUUUUUUUAUAUUUUGUGUGUCAGACUGCAAUUUUUGGAACGCGCGCCACUGUUCAAUUUUAAUGUGUGCUCAUUCUUUUAUUCAUUUUCAAACUGUAACUUGAUAUUAUGACCAGCACUUGUGUUAUAGCCCCGGUCCCAUCACAUCCAGAAUGUACAUGUUUUGUAGCAUCGUAGUUGUAUGUAUGUACAGACAUUUUUUUUUUUUCAUAUUUUAGUCACUUUUUUAAGGCAAUAUUUUUUAACAGAUUAAUUUUAUGAAUAUAUUUUCUGACCAAUAAAACUCGGUGAAAUAAAAAUAUUACUUGAAACAUUAU